This 352-nucleotide long non-coding RNA is filed under the name Capra hircus (goat). RNAcentral's name for it is "lncRNA (ENSCHIG00010013411.1)". The record is from RNAcentral. Lineage: Eukaryota; Metazoa; Chordata; Mammalia; Artiodactyla; Bovidae.
CCCCUCAGCUCAUACCUUUAAUACUAAUUGCUUUUUUCCAUACUCCUUUUCAGGAUCUGCCUAACUCAAUUACCAGGAAAAACCAAGUAGACAAAAUAAAGUUUGUGGUGAGCCACACUUUUUCCCCAUAUGUGCACAGACCACGUGGCCUAUGAACAUGACAAACCCCACUUCCCAUUGUGGGGAGUCACACAGGAUCUUGUGUGGCGCAGAGAGUUAUUCAAGACCAGCCAGACAUAUCCGGUCAACUGGGACAGUCUGUCACCCUGAACUGUCAGUAUGCAACAAGCUGGAGCUAUAACUACCUGUUUUGGUACAAGCUGCUUCCCAAUGGAGAGAUGAUUUACCUUAU